Molecule: ribosomal RNA, 642 nt
Filed under: uncultured fungus
Lineage: Eukaryota; Fungi
Description: LSU rRNA
Rfam family: Eukaryotic large subunit ribosomal RNA
Source: RNAcentral
GCAUAUCAAUAAGCGGAGGAAAAGAAACUAACAAGGAUUCCCCUAGUAACGGCGAGCGAAGCGGGAAGAGCUCAAAUUUGAAAGCUGGCACCUCCGGUGUCCGCGUUGUAAUUUCGAGACGUGUUUUCCGCGUGGCGCCAUGGACAAGUUCCCUGGAAUGGGACAUCGUAGAGGGUGAAAAUCCCGUACUUGCCAUGGACGUACCAUGCUUUGCGAUACACGCUCCAAGAGUCGAGUAGUUUGGGAUUGCUGCUCAAAGUGGGUGGUAGACUCCAUCUAAAGCUAAAUAUCGGGGAGAGACCGAUAGCGAACAAGUACCGUGAGGGAAAGAUGAAAAGCACUUUGGAAAGAGAGUUAAAAGUACGUGAAAUUGUCGAAAGGGAAGCACUUGAAGUCAGCCAUGCUGCUUGAGACUCAGCCUGGCUUUUGCUUGGUGUAUUUCUCGGUAGCAAGCCAGCAUUGGUUUGUGUCGUCGGAGAAGCGUAUGGGGAAUGUGGCAUCCUCGGAUGUGUUAUAGCCCUGUGCAGGAUACGACGACGUAGACCAAGGAACGCAGUGUGCCCUCUGGGCGGGUCUUCGGACACCUUCACACUUAGGAUGCUGGCGUAAUGGCUUUAAGUGGCCCGUCUUGAAACACGGACC